RNAcentral lists this ribosomal RNA (492 nucleotides) under uncultured bacterium. Its description in RNAcentral is "partial 16S ribosomal RNA". It matches the Rfam family "Bacterial small subunit ribosomal RNA", at positions 29 to 507 of the family's 1533-position model. The record is from RNAcentral.
AGUGAACGCUGGCGGUAGGCCUAACACAUGCAAGUCGAACGGCAGCACAGUAAGAGCUUGCUCUUACGGGUGGCGAGUGGCGGACGGAUGAGGAAUACAUCGGAAUCUACUUUUUCGUGGGGGAUAACGUAGGGAAACUUACGCUAAUACCGCAUACGACCUACGGGUGAAAGCAGUGGAUCUUCGGACCUUGCGCGAUUGAAAGAGCCGAUGUCGGAUUAGCUAGUUGGCGGGGUAAAGGCCCACCAAGGCGACGAUCCGUAGCUGGCCUGAGAGGAUGAUCAGCCACACUGGAACUGAGACACGGUCCAGACUCCUACGGGAGGCAGCAGUGGGGAAUAUUGGACAAUGGGCGCAAGCCUGAUCCAGCCAUACCGCGUGGGUGAAGAAGGCCUUCGGGUUGUAAAGCCCUUUUGUUGGGAAAGAAAAGCAGCAGGUUAAUACCCCGCUGUUCUGACGGUACCCAAAGAAUAAGCACCGGCUAACUUCGUG